CGGGUGAGUACACGUAGAGUAUCUGCCUUAAGGUGGGGGAUAACAGAGGGGAGCUGGUGCUAAUACCCCAUAUGUGCCAGACUGAGAUGUCUGGUAUGAAAGCUCCGGCGCCUUAAGAUGAGCCUGCGGCUGAUUAGCUUGUUGGUGGGGUAAUGGCCUACCAAAGCAACGAUCAGUAGCUGGUCUGAGAGGAUGAUCAGCCACAAUGGAACUGAGAGACGGUCCAUACUCCUACGGGAGGCAGCAGUAGGGAAUUUUGCGCAAUGAGCGAAAGCCUGACGCAGCAACACCGCGUGUGGGAUGAAGCUUUUCGGAGUGUAAACCACUGUCAGAGGGGACGAAACCUGACGGUACCCUCAGAGGAAGCAUCGGAUAACUACGUGCCAGCAGCCGAGGGAAGACGUAGGAUGCAAGCGUUGUCCGGAAUUAUUGAGCGUAAAGCGUUCGUAGGCAGGCUGUCACGUCUGAUGUUAAAGCCCGGAGCUCAACUCCGGUACGGCAUUGGAUACUGG
RNAcentral lists this ribosomal RNA (512 nucleotides) under uncultured organism. RNAcentral describes it as "bacterial SSU rRNA". It matches the Rfam family "Bacterial small subunit ribosomal RNA", at positions 103 to 636 of the family's 1533-position model. The record is from RNAcentral.